RNAcentral lists this ribosomal RNA (849 nucleotides) under uncultured archaeon. Its description in RNAcentral is "bacterial SSU rRNA". It matches the Rfam family "Archaeal small subunit ribosomal RNA", at positions 77 to 929 of the family's 1478-position model. The record is from RNAcentral.
GCCGGCAUACGGCUCAGUAACACGUAGGUAACCUACCCUUAGGACUGGGAUAACUCCGGGAAACUGGGGCUAAUACCAGAUAGAUAAAAGAUACUGGAAUGUUCUUUUAUCCAAAGCUUUUGUGCCUAAGGAUGGGCCUGCGUCCGAUUAGGUUGUUGGUGGGGUAAUGGCCCACCAAGCCUGCGAUCGGUACGGGCAGUGGGAGCUGUAGCCCGGAGUUGGGGACUGAGACAAGGCCCCAGGCCCUACGGGGCGCAGCAGGCGCGAAACCUCUGCAAUGCGGGAAACCGUGACAGGGGGAUCCCAAGUGCUCAUGCAUUGCAUGGGCUGUUCUUUGGUCUAAGUAACCAGAGGAGUAAGGGCUGGGCAAGACCGGUGCCAGCCGCCGCGGUAAUACCGGCAGCUCGAGUGGUAGCCGCGAUUAUUGGGCCUAAAGCGUUCGUAGCCGGAUAAGUAAGUCUUUGGUUAAAUCCUGCGACUUAACCGUGGGAAAUCUAGAGAUACUGCUUGUCUUGAGACCGGGAGAGGUUGGAGGUACUCCUAGGGUAGGGGUGAAAUCCUGUAAUCCUAGGGGGACCACCUGUGGCGAAGGCGUCCAACUGGAACGGGUCUGACGGUGAGGGACGAAACCUAGGGGAGCGAGCCGGAUUAGAUACCCGGGUAGUCCUAGGCGUAAAUGAUGCGAGUUAAGUGUGGGGGCAUCUACGAGAUGGCCCUGUGCUGUAGGGUAGCCGUUAAACUCGCCGCCUGGGGAGUACGGUCGCAGGGCUGAAACUUAAAGGAAUUGGCGGGGGAGCACCACAAGAGGUGGAGGCUGCGGUUCAAUUGGAUUCAACGCCGGGAAGGGCG